AGAAUCAACGCUGGCGGCGUGCCUAACACAUGCAAGUCGCACGAGAAAGGGGGACUUCGGUUCCUGAGUACAGUGGCGCACGGGUGAGUAACACGUGAAUAAUCUACCUCCGAGUGGGGAAUAACUGAGAGAAAUCUUAGCUAAUACCGCAUAACACUUACGAGUCAAAGCAGCAAUGCGCUUGGAGAGGAGUUCGCGGCAGAUUAGUUAGUUGGCGGGGUAAUGGCCCACCAAGACGAUGAUCUGUAUCCGGCCUGAGAGGGCGCACGGACACACUGGAACUGAAACACGGUCCAGACUCCUACGGGAGGCAGCAGUGGGGAAUUUUGCGCAAUGGGGGAAACCCUGACGCAGCAACGCCGCGUGGAGGAUGAAAUCCCUUGGGAUGUAAACCCCUUUCGAUCGGGAAGAUAAUGACGGUACCGAGAGAAGAAGCCCGGCUAACUUCGCGCCAGCAGCCGC
RNAcentral lists this ribosomal RNA (462 nucleotides) under uncultured bacterium. RNAcentral's name for it is "SSU rRNA". It matches the Rfam family "Bacterial small subunit ribosomal RNA", at positions 26 to 518 of the family's 1533-position model. The record is from RNAcentral.